Molecule: ribosomal RNA, 1101 nt
Filed under: Enterobacter cloacae complex sp. P46RS
Lineage: Bacteria; Pseudomonadati; Pseudomonadota; Gammaproteobacteria; Enterobacterales; Enterobacteriaceae
Description: partial 23S ribosomal RNA
Rfam family: Bacterial large subunit ribosomal RNA
Source: RNAcentral
CAGGGAAACCGAGUCUUAACUGGGCGUUAAGUUGCAGGGUAUAGACCCGAAACCCGGUGAUCUAGCCAUGGGCAGGUUGAAGGUUGGGUAACACUAACUGGAGGACCGAACCGACUAAUGUUGAAAAAUUAGCGGAUGACCUGUGGCUGGGGGUGAAAGGCCAAUCAAACCGGGAGAUAGCUGGUUCUCCCCGAAAGCUAUUUAGGUAGCGCCUCGUGAACUCAUCUUCGGGGGUAGAGCACUGUUUCGGCUAGGGGGCCAUCCCGGCUUACCAACCCGAUGCAAACUACGAAUACCGAAGAAUGUUAUCACGGGAGACACACGGCGGGUGCUAACGUCCGUCGUGAAGAGGGAAACAACCCAGACCGCCAGCUAAGGUCCCAAAGUCAUGGUUAAGUGGGAAACGAUGUGGGAAGGCACAGACAGCCAGGAUGUUGGCUUAGAAGCAGCCAUCAUUUAAAGAAAGCGUAAUAGCUCACUGGUCGAGUCGGCCUGCGCGGAAGAUGUAACGGGGCUAAACCAUGCACCGAAGCUGCGGCAGCGACGCUUAUGUGUUGUUGGGUAGGGGAGCGUUCUGUAAGCCGUUGAAGGUGUGCUGUGAGGCAUGCUGGAGGUAUCAGAAGUGCGAAUGCUGACAUAAGUAACGAUAAAGCGGGUGAAAAGCCCGCUCGCCGGAAGACCAAGGGUUCCUGUCCAACGUUAAUCGGGGCAGGGUGAGUCGACCCCUAAGGCGAGGCCGAAAGGCGUAGUCGAUGGGAAACAGGUUAAUAUUCCUGUACUUGGUGUUACUGCGAAGGGGGGACGGAGAAGGCUAUGUCAGCCGGGCGACGGUUGUCCCGGUUUAAGCGUGUAGGUGUGUGUUCCAGGCAAAUCCGGUUCACUUUAACACUGAGGCGUGAUGACGAGGCACUACGGUGCUGAAGUGAUAAAUGCCCUGCUUCCAGGAAAAGCCUCUAAGCAUCAGGUAACACGAAAUCGUACCCCAAACCGACACAGGUGGUCAGGUAGAGAAUACCAAGGCGCUUGAGAGAACUCGGGUGAAGGAACUAGGCAAAAUGGUGCCGUAACUUCGGGAGAAGGCACGCUGAUAUGUAGGUGAAG